RNAcentral lists this ribosomal RNA (730 nucleotides) under uncultured bacterium. RNAcentral's name for it is "bacterial SSU rRNA". It matches the Rfam family "Bacterial small subunit ribosomal RNA", at positions 773 to 1501 of the family's 1533-position model. The record is from RNAcentral.
CAGGAUUAGAUACCCUGGUAGUCCACGCUGUAAACGAUGUCGACUUGGAGGUUGUGCCCUUGAGGCGUGGCUUCCGGAGCUAACGCGUUAAGUCGACCGCCUGGGGAGUACGGCCGCAAGGUUAAAACUCAAAUGAAUUGACGGGGGCCCGCACAAGCGGUGGAGCAUGUGGUUUAAUUCGAUGCAACGCGAAGAACCUUACCUACUCUUGACAUCCACGGAAUUCGCCAGAGAUGGCUUAGUGCCUUCGGGAACCGUGAGACAGGUGCUGCAUGGCUGUCGUCAGCUCGUGUUGUGAAAUGUUGGGUUAAGUCCCGCAACGAGCGCAACCCUUAUCCUUUGUUGCCAGCACGUAAUGGUGGGAACUCAAAGGAGACUGCCGGUGAUAAACCGGAGGAAGGUGGGGAUGACGUCAAGUCAUCAUGGCCCUUACGAGUAGGGCUACACACGUGCUACAAUGGCAUAUACAAAGAGAAGCGAACUCGCGAGAGCAAGCGGACCUCAUAAAGUAUGUCGUAGUCCGGAUUGGAGUCUGCAACUUGACUCCAUGAAGUCGGAAUCGCUAGUAAUCGUAGAUCAGAAUGCUACGGUGAGUACGUUCCCGGGCCUUGUACACACCGCCCGUCACACCAUGGGAGUGGGUUGCAAAAGAAGUAGGUAGCUUAACCUUCGGGAGGGCGCUUACCACUUUUGUGAUUCAUGACUGGGGUGAAGUCGUAACAAGGUAACC